RNAcentral lists this ribosomal RNA (467 nucleotides) under uncultured bacterium. RNAcentral describes it as "partial 16S ribosomal RNA". It matches the Rfam family "Bacterial small subunit ribosomal RNA", at positions 27 to 507 of the family's 1533-position model. The record is from RNAcentral.
GGAUGAACGCUGGCGGCGUGCUUAACCCAUGCAAGUCGAACGGAAAGGCUCCUGCUUGCAGGGGUACUCGAGUGGCGAACGGGUGAGUAACACGUGGGUGAUCUGCCCUGCACUUCGGGAUAAGCCUGGGAAACUGGGUCUAAUACCGGAUAGGACGAUGGUUUGGAUGCCAUUGUGGAAAGUUUUUCGGUGUGGGAUGAGCUCGCGGCCUAUCAGCUUGUUGGUGGGGUAAUGGCCUACCAAGGCGUCGACGGGUAGCCGGCCUGAGAGGGUGUACGGCCACAUUGGGACUGAGAUACGGCCCAGACUCCUACGGGAGGCAGCAGUGGGGAAUAUUGCACAAUGGGCGCAAGCCUGAUGCAGCGACGCCGCGUGGGGGAGGACGGCCUUCGGGUUGUAAACUCCUUUCGCUAGGGACGAAGCGUUUUGUGACGGUACCUGGAGAAGAAGCACCGGCUAACUACGUG